This 72-nucleotide transfer RNA is filed under the name Myotis davidii. It matches the Rfam family "tRNA". From Rfam's summary of the family: Transfer RNA (tRNA) molecules are approximately 80 nucleotides in length. Their secondary structure includes four short double-helical elements and three loops (D, anti-codon, and T loops). The record is from Rfam by way of RNAcentral. Lineage: Eukaryota; Metazoa; Chordata; Mammalia; Chiroptera; Vespertilionidae.
CCCUGAGUAGCUCAGUUGGUUAGAGCAUUGACCCACUAUGCCAAAGUUGUGGGUUCGAUCCCUGGUCAGGGC